RNAcentral lists this microRNA precursor (93 nucleotides) under Heligmosomoides polygyrus. RNAcentral's name for it is "microRNA hpo-mir-10144 precursor". Lineage: Eukaryota; Metazoa; Nematoda; Chromadorea; Rhabditida; Heligmosomidae. The record is from miRBase by way of RNAcentral.
GGUGAUCAGCUACUGCGAGGCAACGUUCACACCGGUCAUUCGCGACCAGGCGGCGCCAUCGUUCGCGACGACCGGUAUACUUGUCGCAAUCAC